AUUUGCAAGGAAAAUAAUCGCUACUGACUGCAUUUGAAUUCUAACUCAAAACAUUCUCAUCAGGGAGGGCUCUGAGGCUGUGUUAAGCAGCAGCUGGCCUCCUACUUGCUACAGUUAAGCGACUGACACAGGCUCUGCUUAUUUUGAGUCAAUUUAACUGUACUAUUAUUGCUUUGAGGCAUACUGGACUCUUAUCUUUGAAACUUAGCAUGUGAGGCGCUGCCUAUUCUUGCGACUUCCUUGCCUGCAGUGUGAAAUAGUGUUUCCUACUGACAUAAAAGCUUAGUUUCGCCUUGGCAGAGCGAAAGAUCUGUCCAACUGUGUAGAAUAUUCUUGUUGCUUUGACUGAAGGUAUGCAGUAGCAGAGGAGGAUCAUUUUGUGAAAAAAAUGGACCGUUCACAGUUGGAAAGAUUCUGAGUGAAGCAAGAACUAGCAGAACACAUCUAAAAGCUGUGCGGUUCCAGGUUUCUCAAACACGUCUACGUUUAUGACUGUCACCAAGUCAUGAGACAUGAGUCACCAAGUAUUCAGAUCUACUUAUUUGAAUAUAUUUUAACAAGGCCACAUAGAGAUCGUUGCUCUUUUGUGUAGAGGUAUGUUGAUUAUAUGUAACAAACGUCGACAAUGUAAAUUCAAACCAAAGAUUUGUUCACAAAUGCAAAACAUUCAAGUGCUUUGCAAAAAUUAGCAACUUGCUGAAUAAUUUGCGCUUCUCAGCUGUGAUGAGUAAAAUGAUCCAAAGCUGAGAGAACAUGAUCAAUCAAUAAGGAUCAGAAGAAGCAGAAAGGGUUAGCACUGAGUGAAAAGUACCUUUUGUAUUUAUGUAAACCAGAAGCAUCUUUAAACAAUAAGAAAAAGAUGCAGAGUUGGAAAUGUGAGAAAAGCAAGCAGUAACAGGUGGACGGAAAAGUGAAGGUGAUGACUGGAUGUGGUCUGUUUGAGAGGGGCUAGGGAAGGGUAAGUCCGAUUCUCAAAGAGGGGAAGACCGAUCAGAAGAGUUGAAAGUGAGAUUGAACUUCAUUCGAAACCAGAGACAUGCAAAGGGAGAAAAUACUGGAAAGUUUCGACGUGAAACAAUAACCCCAAUCAUAGAAAUACACCACUGAAAAUAUUUGCAACAUUUUUGAUGUUUAUUUUGAAUUUCUGCCAUCCAGAGUCAUUAUCUUUGUCAUCAUAAAUUAAGCCAGCUGGUUAGUUUAGGUUAAAGGCAGAAAGUGGUCAUCACAGGACAACUUUCACAUUAGAGAGAGGUGACUAGUGGCAGUUUAACCCAAGGGUCAUCACAUUUCAGGCAAGUGGAGAGGUUGAGAAGGAGAGUCCUUCAUUGUAAUCUUAGCCUGUGUAGGAAUUGAAUCCAUGUUGUUAGCAUCACAACCUUGCCAGCCUGCCAACUGAGCUAACCAACUGCCAGCUUUAGAUUAGACUAAUGAGACCACCAAUGAUGAAUAACUGACAAAUAUAGAAAGAACUGCGGAUGCUGUAAAUCAGGAACAAAAACAAAUUUGCUGGAAAUGCUCAGCAGGUCUGGCAGCAUCUGUGAAGAAAAAUAUCAGAGUUAACGUUUCGGGUCCAGUGACCCUUCCUCAGUUCUGAAGAACUGACAAAUAUAGUUGGUAACCAGCACUUGUUAGCAAGUUUACAAUAUUUUGUCUUUGCCAGACACAGUCAUUAAAUCAGAGAUGCAAACUUGCUUAACCUAAAAGAUUACAAACUGAUAGAUAAAAGAGUCAAGCUGUAUUUAUGUAGCAGUCUUGAUGGGAAUGGAUGUGGUCUGGGGUAUUUUGUUCAAAAAGGUUAAGCUUAAUUUUACAUGCCACGACGAUCCAAAAAUCAAAUGUUAACGUAAUCAUGGUAAAUUAGGUUAGUGAAAAGGUUCCAGCUCCUCAGGAUGAUCUGAUUACAAACCAUGGUUCAUUUUAUGCCUCAAGAAAUCUUUCACAAUUUCCCAAAUCCAAUUUGCCACGAGUUUUUGAAAGGAAUUGUCUCACCAUUUCUUACCAAACUCACCUCAUUAAACACUCACCAUGCCCCAUGGGAUUACCUCACUUCUGAUUAUACCUCAUCUUACUAAGCGCCAUCUACAACAACUUGCUACUUAGCAGAUAUCCCAGAAUUCAUCGACAUCCUUGCACACGUCAUCUUUAAAAGCCUGUCGUGCACCCAGACAAGCGCUGUCGGUCCAGAGUUGCCCUGCAUGGUUCCUGACAUUGGCCCUGGAUAUGGCAGACAGGCGGAAAUAUUCAUCUCCCGUUGAAUGGGUGGUGUCAACAUGGGACUUCCUCUUCACCCAGCACCAGCAGAGGACGCAAUGUCACCAGAGCAUGGCCAGCCUGGUCCAUGGUUGCCACUCAGGUUAAAGCAGUCAUAGCCAUCUGAAGGAUUGCCCAGCACUGUAGGAAGAAUGUCUUCAACAGUCCACCGGGAUAAGUUUUACCAUUUUCUCUCCCAUACCUUACACAACCACUGCUACUAAAUCCACCUCCCACCAAGGCUAUUGCUCUACCACCCUCACCACUGCCUGCAACAUCUUCCCCACUCGCUCUCACCUACACCAAACUCUAACCCUGCAUGCCCUGUGUGCUGCCUACUCACUCACUCGAAAUACCUUCCCAACCUGCAGUAACAACUGUGCCACCCAAUUUCAUCUCUGCAUUACCUGCCCCUCUCUCAUUCCACCAGGAGAACAGCCCACAAGAGGACUGAAAAAGUCAAGGCAGUCGAUAGGCCUCCAAACAUUCAGGUCCUCACCCCUUAGGAGGAUAGGGCCCUGACUCUGACCAGGACCUGGACUGGUAUUGGAGGCUGCCCUUCACUUGCUAUUCCAGAAGCCGGUGAGCGAAUAGCUAUCCCCUUUGACUUGACCGAGGCCUGCUGAUAACCAUGAAAAACUUUGUGCCUGCAUUAAAUAGACAAGAUAUGGGUCUGGUAUCUCAGCUGAGGGGGGACAAAGUGCCAAAAAGCAACGCAAAUUGGGGAUGCUGUGAGCAUCCAAGUAGAGUUGGAGUAAUUGAGCCAUGCCCAGAGAUGCACCCUGAUCCAGUCCAUAAGCUGGGUGUGUCCCUGAGCAUACAAGGUUCUCACUGCAGCAUUACAAUGAGAGUUUGCAGUACGGCCAAAGAUGCAGCAUCGAAAAGAAGAAGCAUCCUGUAAGUGGAUCGGAAUAGGAGUAGACUAUUCGGCCCUUCAAGCCUGUCCUGCCAUUCAGUAGGAUCACAGCUGAUGAAUACAAAAGUGGUUGCUGACCAUGACGCUCAGGAAAGACAACUUGCCUAAAAGGUUGAGAAUUUAGUACCAAAAUUUUGACUUGAAGUGGAGGUGCCAGUGUUGGACUGAGGUGGACAAGGUCAAAAGUCACACUACACCGGGUUAUAGUCCAACAGGUUUAUUUGAAAUCACGAGCUAUCGAAGCAUUGCCCCUUCUUCAGUUGAAGUGAAGAGAGCACCCAGGAACAGAGAUAACAAGGUGUAGAGCUGGAUGAACACAGCAGGCGAUGCAGCAUCAGAGGAGCAGGAAAGCUGACGUUUCAGGUCUGGAUCCUUCUUCAGAAAAUGAACAGGCUUUAUAACCAGAGAGAUCAAAAUUUCAUACAAAUGGUGGAGUGAAGUGUCAACAGCUGAAUAACAAGUGAGGGGUUGAUCUACAAUCCAAUUAGGUCAAAAAUCACACAACACCAGGUUAUAGUCCAACAGGUUUAUUUGAAAACACAAGUGUGUAUAGCCUGGUGUCGUAAUUUCUGACCUCGUCCACCC
Rhincodon typus (whale shark) is the source of this 3751-nucleotide long non-coding RNA. RefSeq lists it as uncharacterized. Lineage: Eukaryota; Metazoa; Chordata; Chondrichthyes; Orectolobiformes; Rhincodontidae. The transcript is spliced from 3 exons. The record is from RefSeq and is a predicted model, not a curated record.